UUUGCAUUGUAGUGUUCUCUAGAUGGCUCCGUGCAUGACACAAAACAAGAAUAAAUAUUAAAGUGCCAGUGUUAAAGAUUUUAAGUGAAUCUUGAAAAUCUGCUAGCCUUUAAGAGCAAACUUCUCUUCACCAAAGGAUGACUUAAAAUAAGAAAGGUAAUAAUGGUACGUCCCAGCUGUGUUUCAUUCUGGCUGUUUUCACAAACUUCCCUCUUCUCUUGGUGCUUCCUUUACCAAGUAUUUCAGAGAAAGCCGGUAUCUGUUCUGAACUAACACCUCACCCUGCAAAGACUUAAAGACUUCCCACUGGGUUCCAGCCGGCACACCCAACCUCUUCAGGACCUGGAGGUCAUCAUAUGAAGACAAAGGCAGAGAUCAGGAUGAUUCUUCCACAAGACAAGAGCUCCAGUGAUUGCCAGCACACCCCCAGAAGCCAGGGGAGAGACCUGGACCACAUUCUCCCUGAACGCCCUCAGAAGGAACCAACCCAACGACACGUUGAUUCCAGACUGCAGCAUUCCAGAACUGUGAGACAAUACAUUUCUGUUGUUUAAGCCACUUUCUCAGCGGUACUUUAUUACAGCAGCCCUGGGGAAGUAAUCAAGUGCCUUUUGAUGAUUGCUUUAGUUGAACUGUCCACUCAGCUCUUAACUCUGCCCUCUUUGUCUCUCAGAUCUGCUUCUCUUCUAUGCUCAGUGGGUGAAUGCGGACCCUUCCAUAGUACAGACCAGGCCC
This 735-nucleotide long non-coding RNA is filed under the name Homo sapiens (human). Its description in RNAcentral is "HSALNT0145921". Lineage: Eukaryota; Metazoa; Chordata; Mammalia; Primates; Hominidae. The record is from RNAcentral.